This 76-nucleotide microRNA precursor is filed under the name Myotis lucifugus (little brown bat). RNAcentral describes it as "mir-9229 microRNA precursor family". It matches the Rfam family "mir-9229 microRNA precursor family". The record is from Rfam by way of RNAcentral. Lineage: Eukaryota; Metazoa; Chordata; Mammalia; Chiroptera; Vespertilionidae.
GAGACACCCUUCUGGGGCAAGACUUGCUUCAAUGGGGCUUUGGGGCUCACUGAGUCUGCCCCCUGAGUGUGACCCU